This 2831-nucleotide long non-coding RNA is filed under the name Nicotiana tabacum (common tobacco). RNAcentral's name for it is "long non-coding RNA (NTAB_LNC001456)". The record is from RNAcentral. Lineage: Eukaryota; Viridiplantae; Streptophyta; Magnoliopsida; Solanales; Solanaceae.
GACCACGCAAUUCAGCCAAUGAUAGAGCUUGUAAUACUCCACUUUGCAGAUACUUGUAAUACUAUCGACCACGCAAUUCAGCCAAUGAUAGAGCUUGAUCAUCUUUAUUGAAUUUUAAAUUCUAAAAGUAUUAUUCAGCAGUUCAAUAAAUUAGGCAUGGAAGAGCAAUCUUUUAAUUCACUUUUUCCCAUAAGGCCAUAGCAGAACAGAGAGGUGGCAAAAUCCUUUGGAAUUGGCAAGUUGGAUUUUUCUUCCCAAAUUCUUGAAUCUUGAUAACAAAUACAGAUAUCUGGAUCCUCUUGCCGACCUAACUUUGCCUUUUCAAGUUGGCUUUUUAUAUUAUGGUUUUUUAGGCCUCUGCAACUUUAUUUCUUUCCUUCUUUGCUUGUUACCUCUUUUUUUCUUUUUUUUUUUCUGGCAUGACAACUGUCCUGAUUUUGUUCUAGGUACAUAUAAUGUUUUGUUAGAUCUAUUACGCUUAGGAUUUUACCGAAGAUUUCUACUUCUCUGACACAGUUUUAUUCUUCUUAAACUAGCCAAAUGGAGCAAUAUUUGUUAGGAUCUAAAUAAUUAGAUGUCAUAUGAAAAUUAUCAAAAUAAACCUUAAACGACGAUAAAUUAGACGACAAAAGAGAAAUAUAUCAAAAGAGACACAAACAUCUAACAUGAUUUAGUCAAUUGACUUACAUCUAUGACAGAGACGAACAAUCCACUAUAUAAAAAAGAGUACAAAAUAUCGAGAGAACAACCUCACAAAAAGGCAAAUAAAAGUGGCAGGCUAAUACUUGUCCUGUAAUUCUCCCCUAAACAAGACUCUCAAAUCUCGUAUGACUAAAUUGUGGAUGCUGUUAAAUGAGAAGGAAGGAUCCUCAAUUUAUAGAAGUCCAUAUAUUUUCCUACAAGAAAAGGGACUAUCCAAAUAUGAGAGAUUUAUAAUUUCCUUCUAUAAAAAGGAAAACUCAAUUAUAGUAAAUAUGUUGCACUUUCCUUCAACAUAUACGAAAACUAAAUAUGGUAAGAAAACCAGGACAACCACUUAACAAUUCUCCCCCUUGGCUUGAAUUUUUCGACAAAAUGAACUUGAACAACCUUCUUCACAUAAUCUUCAACAAGUCGUAUCUCCAAAUCUUUACCAAAAAGUUCGUCAUAGGAGUACCACUGUGACACCCCGUAAAUUUUUGUUAUUUAUUUUUUUGAACUAUAAUAUUCGGAAGUGAAUUUGAGUCCUUAGUAAGGACCAUUGAGUUAUUGUUUUAAUUAGAGUUUCCUACGUAAAUAGACUAUGUAUAUAAUAUUUAAGUCUGAGAUAAAAUAAAAUAAUUAAUUGGCUAGAGGUCAAACUUACAAUUUACACAAUUGGUUGACUUUAUAAGAGAUUUUAGUUAAUUCCUAAAGGUUUAAAAAUGGGCCAGACCCAUUAUUCCUUUGCUGGCCACGUUAAGAAGUCUAAGGUGAAGACAUAUGGAUAUUGGAUGUCUUUGUUUAUUUAAUAAGAAGAGAACGCAGACAAGAGAAGGGGUCUUGGAAGAUUAACAGCGGCGCACUUCCAAGGGAAACUGGAGGGAUUAUUAUGUUAUCUUUCAGUCGUACAAUCAUCAAGGAAGGGAUUGAUAAUUAAAGAAAAUUAGUUACUGCUUGGUUGCCUUGUUCGUCCAGUAGCUAAACGAGAGGCAUCGGUCUUUCGAAUUGAAAUUUCAGCAACCGCCUAGAGAUUAAGACCAGUGGAGACUGUUUGGUUGGUGUUUUGAAUUUUGCAUGGUUAAGGGACUUUUCAUUAGCGAGGUAAGUGAGACUUUAAAUUUUGGUGUUUGCUUUUCUAAAAUCCGUUUUAAAAAUAAAUUAUCUCUGUCCGGUCUAUGUGUUGGGACAAGCGUGUACUUGGCAGAAUCGGUGGUCUUAGACUAGCCGCAAAUAUAUUAUUGUAUGAAAAAUACAAAAUAAAAAAAAAUAUAUUAUUUUAUAAGUUGUUUGAUAGUUUGAUACGGCUGUGAGCCAUGUGUUGAGUUUGAUACGGCUGUGUGCCUUGAUGUUGAGUUUGAUAGUUUGAUACGGCUGUGUGCCACGAUGUUGAGUUUGAUACGGCUGUGCGCCAUGAUAUUGAGUUUGUUACGGCUGUGCGCCAUGAUGUUGAGUUUGAUACGGCUGUGCGCCAUAAUGUUGGGGCAUUGUGUAUGCUCUAUUACAUAUUUGAGGCAUUGUGGUGCCGUUGUGGACUCGUAGGUGUGUUGGUAAAUUUCUUUCACUGUAAUUAUGAUAAGUCCUUAGUGGGUACUCUUGUUGGUUAAUUCUUAACAACUCUGUUGAUACAUAUAUAUUGAGUUAUUGUAUAAUUAUUAUAUUUACUACAUCAUUCGUGUUGUGGCAUGUUUGUAUUUUCUAACACUUGUUCCACAGGUAUUUAAAGUGGCGGGUCGAGGAUCUUACUGGGUUAUAUUUAUAUAUAACUCACUCCUUACUUGCAUCUCUAUGCAGAUACCGGUGCGGAAGAUAGAGCUAGUGGCUGACGAGUUGUUCGAGUGGAUCCUAUUGCUGAGGUGAGCCACCGCAUUGUUCGUGGAGGCUUUCGUUUCAUACUUACCUAGCUCGUGUUAGUUAUUUCCUUUUUCUUUGGGGCUUGUAUACCCGUCAAUAAAACUCAUGUUACUCUGUUAGAUGCUCCAUGAUCUUAGUGUGGGAUUUGGGUUAGAGAUUUAGUAUUUGAGUACUCAUUAGAUUUUAUUAAUAAAUUAUAAUUUUAGUUGGAUAAUUAUUUCGCAUUUAGUAAUUUUUAAUGCAUUUGGACUUGUACGUAUUUUUCUCAAGGUUUAUAUAAAAGUGUAAGAGUACGGGAA